GUUGUAUGGUUAAGAGACAAAGCGUACAAGGUGGAUGCCUUGGCAAUCAGAGGCGAAGAAGGACGUGCUAAUCUGCGAAAAGCUCGGAUGAGUCGAUAAGAGGCGUUUAAUCCGAGAUAUCCGAAUGGGGAAACCCGGUGGGUGAAGAACCCACUAUCAUUAUCUGAAUCCAUAGGGUAAUGAGGCGAACCGGGGGAACUGAAACAUCUAAGUACCCCGAGGAAAAGAAAUCAACCGAGAUUUUGUGAGUAGCGGCGAGCGAAAGCGAAAGAGCCUGUUAGUGAUAGCGACAGAGACAGAGGAAUGUGCUGGGAAGCACAGCGAGACAGGGUGAUAGCCCCGUACUCGAAGUCUGGGUCGUGGUACUAAGCUAACGAGAAGUAGGGCGGGACACGUGAUAUCCUGUUUGAAGAAGGGGGGCCCAUCCUCCAAGGCUAAAUACUCCUGAUUGACCGAUAGUGAAGCAGUACUGUGAAGGAAAGGCGAAAAGAACCGGGGUGACCGGAGUGAAAUAGAACCUGAAACCUUGUACGUACAAGCAGUGGGAGCCUGAAAGGGUGACUGCGUACCUUUUGUAUAAUGGGUCAGCGAGUUAUAUUUUGUAGCGAGGUUAACCGGAUAGGGGAGCCGAAGGGAAACCGAGUCUUAACUGGGCGCUUAGUUGCAAGGUAUAGACCCGAAACCCGGUGAUCUAGCCAUGGGCAGGUUGAAGGUUGGGUAACACUAACUGGAGGACCGAACCGACUAAUGUUGAAAAAUUAGCGGAUGACUUGUGGCUGGGGGUGAAAGGCCAAUCAAACCGGGAGAUAGCUGGUUCUCCCCGAAAUCUAUUUAGGUAGAGCCAUGAGCGGACACCUUUGGGGGUAGAGCACUGUUUCGGCUAGGGGGCCAUCCCGGCUUACCAACCCGAUGCAAACUACGAAUACCGAAGAGUGAUACUCAGGAGACACACGGCGGGUGCUAACGUCCGUCGUGGAGAGGGAAACAACC
RNAcentral lists this ribosomal RNA (990 nucleotides) under Aggregatibacter actinomycetemcomitans serotype f str. SC29R. RNAcentral's name for it is "bacterial LSU rRNA". It matches the Rfam family "Bacterial large subunit ribosomal RNA", at positions 1 to 1027 of the family's 2925-position model. Lineage: Bacteria; Pseudomonadati; Pseudomonadota; Gammaproteobacteria; Pasteurellales; Pasteurellaceae. The record is from RNAcentral.